Molecule: long non-coding RNA, 1538 nt
Organism: Acanthopagrus latus (yellowfin seabream)
Lineage: Eukaryota; Metazoa; Chordata; Actinopteri; Spariformes; Sparidae
Exons: 3
Source: RefSeq, a predicted model, not a curated record
CGACAUUGCCAUCAGCCCGAGGCGCGUGGCAUUCAGAGCUGAUUUCGGUUCCAGAUUUUCUUUGAUGGAUGUGUUACCGUCAGUGCUGGAUUUUGAAUUAAUCUUCAGAAAAUUGGUUUCAAGAAGCAACUCCAUACAUCAACGUCAACAGCAAACCUGGAAUGGCACAUUGAACUAAAGCACCCAGCUAGCCUUUCAAGGAAGUGUGUGCGUCUUAACAGUGUCUGCUGUCUGAAGGAAACAGAGCUGAUAGCUAAUGACAUCUGACAGAGGCCGUCUGUUAUGGUCAUGUGAUACUGUCUCAGAGCAGCAAAGGCCCUCUUAAGAGAUGUGGUCUGACCAUGAAUCCAUGCCAGAAAUAGAAGACUGGCCACUAUACAGGGUUCCCAUACAGUAAUUGAAAGUAUUGUAUUUGAAUCUUUUGUUUGGAAUUUGAAAGAAAAGAGUAUGAAAAACGUUUUUGUUUCCAGACCUGCCUGUUUUUGAAAUAUGAAAAUCAUAAUUUCUGCAAAAACAAAUCGAUCAUUCAGGCAGAGUGUUUAUCAUAGCCUUCCGAACAAACACGAUAUUUACCCCUGUGUAAGAGUUUGCGGGCCAGACCGAGCUUGAUGUUGUUGAAAACAAGGCAAGAAGUAUGGAGUGAGACCGAUCACACACACCUACGCAGAGCUGCCUCUACGCCUGUAUGUCACAGCCUGCAAAACACCUCUUAGAGCUGUACCAGUUUGUGACCAAAUUCAUUUGAAAGAAAGUGUCAUAAAUGUUUCAUUAUAAAUAAUCAAAUGAUAAUCCUGUCUGAACAUUUAGGACUUAUGCAGUGUUGUAGUUGUCAGAAAAGUGAACAGACCAUCUUUUCUGCAUGUUGUUGCGUGAUCAAUGGGAAUCAUUUUAACCAUACAAGGUCAGGUGUCGAUAUUAAGGUCACAGGCAGAAAUACCUGCGGUUAAAAUGUCUGUGCCAUAUUUUAUGUAAAAAAAAAAAAACAACGGGAGCUGAAAACCAGAAUCUGUGAGCAUAAGCAUUCUAUUCGUAACUUCCAUGUUAAAUCAUCAGUAGCCAGGCAUUUUAACAGUCAUGACUACAGUUUGAGUGAACUACAUUAUAUGGGCAUUGAGACAGUGAGAAUGCUUUGGAGAGGUGGUAACAGGGACAGAAUCCUAUUCCAGAGUGAAGCCCAUUGGAUAUACUCAACAAUCUGAUUCCAAAGGGACUGAAUGAGGUGAUUUAAUUUACUUGUUUCCUGUGAUACUAAUAUGUACUAUGUUAUUUCUGUGAGACAGUUAAUAGACCCUGUGAGGUCUUUGGCUCUCCAUCAAAAGGAUGCAGCGUUUCCUAUCGGCAUAUAUCUGUUGUGCAGUUUUGGAUAACCUAUAAUUUGCGCAACUGUGUAGUUUUACUGUGAUUUUGCCAAAACACAGGCUGAAGUAGUGCCUGAAAAGUCUACGUGGCAAGGAUAAACAGUUUGAUUGGAGUGCUGUUCAUUAUUUUGUAUUGUUUAGUCACUACAAGACAGAUUCAGCACCCUGCACUGAAGCUAU